UACGGAGGUGGCUAGCGUUACUCGGAAUUAUUGGGUGUAAAGGGCAAGUAGGCGGUCUAAUAAGUGGGUGGUGAAAUACUCCGGCUCAAUCGGAGAACUGCCUUCCAAACUGUUAGACUUGAGUGUGACAGAGGAAAAUGGAAUUCUCGGUGUAAGGGUGAAAUCUGUAGAUAUCGAGAAGAACACCAGCGGCGAAGGCGAUUUUCUGGGUCACUACUGACGCUAAAUUGCGAAAGCUAGGGGAGCAAACAGAAUUAGAUACUCUGGUAGUCCUAGCCGUAAACGAUGAGCACUAGGUGUCAGCUCCUUUAGGAGUUGGUGCCGCAGCUAACGCAUUAAGUGCUCCACCUGGGGACUACGGUCGCAAGGCUAAA
Molecule: ribosomal RNA, 374 nt
Filed under: uncultured bacterium
Lineage: Bacteria
Description: bacterial SSU rRNA
Rfam family: Bacterial small subunit ribosomal RNA
Source: RNAcentral